RNAcentral lists this ribosomal RNA (253 nucleotides) under uncultured bacterium. RNAcentral's name for it is "partial 16S ribosomal RNA". It matches the Rfam family "Bacterial small subunit ribosomal RNA", at positions 524 to 776 of the family's 1533-position model. The record is from RNAcentral.
UACGUAGGGAGCAAGCGUUGUCCGGAAUCAUUGGGCGUAAAGCGCGCGUAGGUGGCUUCGUAAGUCCGUUGUGAAAGUCAAAGGCUCAACCUUUGAAAGCCGAUGGAUACUGCGGAGCUAGAGUACGGAAGAGGCGAGUGGAAUUCCUGGUGUAGCGGUGAAAUGCGCAGAUAUCGGGAGGAACACCGGUGGCGAAGGCGGUUCUCUGGGCCUUACCUGACGCUGAGGAGCGAAAGCGUGGGGAGCGAACAGG